Molecule: ribosomal RNA, 372 nt
Filed under: uncultured organism
Description: bacterial SSU rRNA
Rfam family: Bacterial small subunit ribosomal RNA
Source: RNAcentral
CGAGGGGUGCAAGCGUUGCUCGGAAUUAUUGGGCGUAAAGGGUAGGUAGGUGGUCUUAUUUGUCUGGGGUGAAAUCCUUGAGCUUAACUCAAGAAGUGCCCUAGAAACGGUAAGACUAGAGUCCUGGAGAGGGUCGUGGAACUCCCGGUGUAGCGGUGAAAUGCGUAGAGAUCGGGAGGAACACCAGAGGCGAAGGCGGCGACCUGGACAGGUACUGACACUAAACUACGAAAGCGUGGGGAGCAAACAGGAUUAGAUACCCUGGUAGUCCACGCUGUAAACGAUGAGUACUAGGCUUGGUGGGUCUUGACCCCCGCUGAGCCGGAGCUAACGCACUAAGUACUCCGCCUGGGAAGUACGGUCGCAAGACUA